Molecule: ribosomal RNA, 1244 nt
Filed under: metagenome
Description: bacterial LSU rRNA
Rfam family: Bacterial large subunit ribosomal RNA
Source: RNAcentral
UGAGUACGAGAUGCUACGGCAUCGAAGCAGUCUAUGUCAUACUUCCAAGAAAAGCUUGCAAUGUCAUAAACAAAUAAUGCCUGUACCAUAACCGACACAGGUGGGUAGGUAGAGUAUACUAAGGGGCGCGAGAUAACUCUCUCUAAGGAACUCGGCAAAAUGACUCCGUAACUUCGGGAGAAGGAGUGCCUUAUUUUUAUAAGGUUGCAAUAACAAGAUCCAAGCAACUGUUUACCAAAAACACAGGUCUCCGCUAAGUCGUAAGACGAUGUAUGGGGGCUGACGCCUGCCCAGUGCCAGAAGGUUAAAGAAGUUGGUUAGCAUUAGCGAAGCUGAUAACUGAAGCCCUGGUGAACGGCGGCCGUAACAAUAACGGUCCUAAGGUAGCGAAAUUCCUUGUCGGGUAAGUUCCGACCCGCACGAAAGGCGUAAUGAUUUGGAUACUGUCUCGGAGAGGGGCUCGGUGAAAUAGACUUGUCUGUGAAGAUGCGGACUACCUGCACCUGGACAGAAAGACCCUAUGAAGCUUUACUGUAACUUGAGAUUGAAAUUGGACUUUAUCUGCGCAGUAUAGGUGGGAGACGUUGAAAAUAUUCUUGCGGGAAUAUUGGAGUCAUCAGUGAGAUACCACUCUUAUAAUGUUAGAUUUCUAACUUUGUAUCAUUAUCUGGUCAAAGAACAGUUUCAGGCGGGCAGUUUGACUGGGGCGGUCGCCUCCCAAACGGUAACGGAGGCGCACAAAGGUUUCCUCUGAACGUGUAGAAAUCGUAUCUAGAGUGUAAAGGCAUAAGGAAGCUUGACUGUGAGACCUACAAGUCGAGCAGGGACGAAAGUCGGUCUUAGUGAUCUGACGGUGCUGAGUGGAAAGGCCGUCACUCAACGGAUAAAAGUUACUCUAGGAUAACAGGCUGAUCUCCCCCAAGAGUUCACAUCGACGGGGAGGUUUGGCACCUCGAUGUCGGCUCAUCGCAUCCUGGGGCGGUAGUACGUCCCAAGGGUUGGGCUGUUCGCCCAUGAAAGCGGUACGCGAGCUGGGUUCAGAACGUCGUGAGACAGUUCGGUCCAUAUCCGGUGUAGGCGUUAGAAUAUUGAGAGGAGCCUUCUUUAGUACGAGAGGACCGAGAAGGACAUACCUCUGGUGUACCAGUUAUCGUGCCAACGGUAAACGCUGGGUAGCCAUGUAUGGAGAGGAUAACCGCUGAAAGCAUCUAAGUGGGAAGCCCACCUCAAGAUAAGUAUUCUCA